AUGGUGAAUGACCUGGGGCUCACACAGGAGAGUGAUAUUGUUUACUGGGGGCUGAAUAAAACAGCUCGAUAUACUACUAAAUCGAUGUACAGGUGGUUGGAGAAGCCCCUUAGUGGGUGUAAUUUCAAAUGGAUUUGGGAGGCAAAACUUCCUCUUAAAAUCCAAAUUUUCCUAUGGCAGAUGUUCCAGAAUGCCAUUCUUACCAGGCAGGUGAUGAGAUCUCGCCGUUGGCCUGGUAAUCCGACUUGUUCCUUCUAUCGGGAGAUAGAAACAGCACAACAUCUCUUCUUUCGAUGUCGGUUGCCAAAAUAG
Molecule: ribosomal RNA, 312 nt
Filed under: Triticum aestivum (bread wheat)
Lineage: Eukaryota; Viridiplantae; Streptophyta; Magnoliopsida; Poales; Poaceae
Description: partial small subunit ribosomal RNA
Source: RNAcentral